Molecule: ribosomal RNA, 402 nt
Filed under: Verrucomicrobiota bacterium
Lineage: Bacteria; Pseudomonadati; Verrucomicrobiota
Description: Verrucomicrobia bacterium partial 16S ribosomal RNA
Rfam family: Bacterial small subunit ribosomal RNA
Source: RNAcentral
UGGGGAAUUUUGCACAAUGGGGGAAACCCUGAUGCAGCGACGCCGCGUGAUUUAGAAGGCCUUCGGGUUGUAAAAAUCUUUUUUAUGGGAUGAAAAUGACAGUACCAUAAGAAUAAGGACCGGCUAAUUACGUGCCAGCAGCCGCGGUAAUACGUAAGGUCCGAGCGUUUUCCGGAAUCAUUGGGCGUAAAGGGUACGUAGGCGGAUAAGCAAGUUAGAAGUGAAAUCCUAUAGCUCAACUAUAGUAAGCUUUUAAAACUGCUCAUCUUGAGGUAUGGAAGGGAAAGUGGAAUUCCUAGUGUAGCGGUGAAAUGCGCAGAUAUUAGGAGGAAUACCGGUGGCGAAGGCGACUUUCUGGCCAUAUACUGACGCUGAGGUACGAAAGCGUGGGUAGCAAACAGG